This 492-nucleotide ribosomal RNA is filed under the name uncultured bacterium. RNAcentral describes it as "partial 16S ribosomal RNA". It matches the Rfam family "Bacterial small subunit ribosomal RNA", at positions 29 to 507 of the family's 1533-position model. The record is from RNAcentral.
AGUGAACGCUGGCGGUAGGCCUAACACAUGCAAGUCGAACGGCAGCACAGUAAGAGCUUGCUCUUACGGGUGGCGAGUGGCGGACGGGUGAGGAAUACAUCGUAAUCUACUUUUUCGUGGGGGAUAACGUAGGGAAACUUACGCUAAUACCGCAUACGACCUACGGGUGAAAGCAGGGGAUCUUCGGACCUUGCGCGAUUGAAUGAGCCGAUGUCGGAUUAGCUAGUUGGCGGGGUAAAGGCCCACCAAGGCGACGAUCCGUAGCUGGUCGGAGAGGAUGGUCAGCCACACGGGAACGGAGACACGGUCCAGACUCCUACGGGAGGCAGCAGUGGGGAAUAGUGGACAAUGGGCGCAAGCCUGAUCCAGCCAGACCGCGUGGGUGGAGAAGGCCCUCGGGUUGUAAAGCCCUUUUGUUGGGAAAGAAAAGCAGCAGGUUAAUACCCCGCUGUUCUGACGGUACCCAAAGAAGAAGCACCGGCUAACUUCGUG